AUCUGCCCCUAAGACGAGGAUAACAGUUGGAAACGACUGCUAAGACUGGAUAGGAGACAAGAAGGCAUCUUCUUGUUUUUAAAAGACCUAGCAAUAGGUAUGCUUAGGGAGGAGCUUGCGUCACAUUUGUUAGUGGGUGCGGUAAAGGCCUACCAAGAUUAUGGAGGGUAGGCGGGGUGAGGGGCUGAACGGCCACAUUGGGAUUGGGACCCGGCCCAAACUCCUACGGGAGGCAGCAGUAGGGAAUUUUCGGCAAUGGAGGAAACUCUGACCGAGCAACGCCGCGUGAACGAUGAAGUAUUUCGGUACGUAAAGUUCUUUUNUUAGGGAAGAAUAAAUGAUGGAAAAAUCAUUCUGACGGUACCUAAUGAAUAAGCCCCGGCUAACUAUGUGCCAGCAGCCGCGGUAAUACAUAGGGGGCAAGCGUUAUCCGGAAUUAUUGGGCGUAAAGGGUGCGUAGGCGGUUAAAUAAGUUUAUGGUCUAAGUGCAAUGCUCAACAUUGUGAUGCUAUAAAAACUGUUUAGCUAGAGUAAGAUAGAGGCAAGUGGAAUUCCAUGUGUAGUGGUAAAAUGCGUAAAUAUAUGGAGGAACACCAGUAGCGAAGGCGGCUUGCUGGGUCUUUACUGACGCUGAGGCACGAAAGCGUGGGGAGCAAACAGGAUUAGAUACCCUGGUAGUCCACGCCGUAAACGAUGAGUACUAAACGUUGGGUAAAACCAGUGUUGAAGUUAACACAUUAAGUACUCCGCCUGAGUAGUACGUACGCAAGUAUGAAACUUAAAGGAAUUGACGGGACUCCGCACAAGCGGUGGAUCAUGUUGUUUAAUUCGAAGGUACCCGAAAAACCUCACCAGGUCUUGACAUGCUUCUGCAAAGCUGUAGAAACACAGUGGAGGUUAUCAGUUGCACAGGUGGUGCAUGGUUGUCGUCAGCUCGUGUCGUGAGAUGUUGGGUUAAGUCCCGCAACGAGCGCAACCCUUAUUGUUAGUUACCAGCACGUAAUGGUGGGGACUUUAGCAAGACUGCCAGUGAUAAAUUGGAGGAAGGUGGGGACGACGUCAAAUCAUCAUGCCCCUUAUGACCUGGGCUACAAACGUGAUACAAUGGCUGUUACAAAGGGUAGCUGAAGCGCAAGUUUUUGGCGAAUCUCAAAAAAACAGUCUCAGUUCGGAUUGAAGUCUGCAACUCGACUUUCAUGAAGUUGGAAUCGCCUAGUAAUCGCGAAUCAGCAUGUCGCGGUGAAUACGUUCUCGGGGUUUGUACACACCGCCCGUCAAACCACGAAAGUUGGCAAUACCCAAAGCCGGUGGCC
RNAcentral lists this ribosomal RNA (1313 nucleotides) under 'Echinochloa frumentacea' aster yellows phytoplasma. RNAcentral describes it as "bacterial SSU rRNA". It matches the Rfam family "Bacterial small subunit ribosomal RNA", at positions 124 to 1435 of the family's 1533-position model. Lineage: Bacteria; Bacillati; Mycoplasmatota; Mollicutes; Acholeplasmatales; Acholeplasmataceae. The record is from RNAcentral.